RNAcentral lists this transfer RNA (87 nucleotides) under Candidatus Rokuibacteriota bacterium. RNAcentral describes it as "tRNA-Leu". It matches the Rfam family "tRNA". From Rfam's summary of the family: Transfer RNA (tRNA) molecules are approximately 80 nucleotides in length. Lineage: Bacteria; Candidatus Rokuibacteriota. The record is from RNAcentral.
GCGAGAGUGGCGGAACUGGCAGACGCGCUGGACUUAGGAUCCAGUGGGUGAACGCCCUUGGGGGUUCAACUCCCCCCUCUCGCACCA